UUGGUUGGUUAAUCCGAUCA
RNAcentral lists this small nuclear RNA (20 nucleotides) under Arabidopsis thaliana (thale cress). RNAcentral's name for it is "snRNA_03321". The record is from RNAcentral. Lineage: Eukaryota; Viridiplantae; Streptophyta; Magnoliopsida; Brassicales; Brassicaceae.